CCCGGGCCUUGUACACACCGCCCGUCACACCAUGGGAGCGGGAUGUACCAGAAGUAGGUAGGCUAACCGCAAGGGGGCCGCUUACCACGGUGCGUUUCGUGACUGGGGUG
RNAcentral lists this ribosomal RNA (110 nucleotides) under uncultured bacterium. RNAcentral describes it as "partial 16S ribosomal RNA". It matches the Rfam family "Bacterial small subunit ribosomal RNA", at positions 1373 to 1482 of the family's 1533-position model. The record is from RNAcentral.